Molecule: ribosomal RNA, 506 nt
Filed under: uncultured bacterium
Lineage: Bacteria
Description: partial 16S ribosomal RNA
Rfam family: Bacterial small subunit ribosomal RNA
Source: RNAcentral
AUUGAACGCUGGCGGCAGGCCUAACACAUGCAAGUCGAACGGCAGCGGGGGAUAGCUUGCUAUCCUGCCGGCGAGUGGCGGACGGGUGAGUAAUGCAUGGGGAGCUGCCCAGUCGAGGGGGAUAACAACUGGAAACGGUUGCUAAUACCGCAUACGCCCUGAGGGGGAAAGGUGGGGAACUUCGGUCCUACCGCGAUUGGAUGCGCCCAUGUGGGAUUAGCUAGUUGGUGAGGUAACGGCUCGCCAAGGCGACGAUCUCUAGCUGGUCUGAGAGGAUGACCAGCCACACUGGAACUGAGACACGGUCCAGACUCCUAGGGGAGGCAGCAGUGGGGAAUAUUGCACAAUGGGGGAAACCCUGAUGCAGCCAUGCCGCGUGUGUGAAGAAGGCCUUCGGGUUGUAAAGCACUUUCAGUCAGGAGGAAGGGGUGAUGGCUAAUAUCCAUCAUCAUUGACGUUACUGACAGAAGAAGCACCGGCUAACUCCGUGCCAGCAGCCGCCGUAA